Molecule: long non-coding RNA, 1794 nt
Filed under: Phoenix dactylifera (date palm)
Lineage: Eukaryota; Viridiplantae; Streptophyta; Magnoliopsida; Arecales; Arecaceae
Description: long non-coding RNA (PDAC_LNC005457)
Source: RNAcentral
CAUUGGAUGUAUGCAUAGCCAUCAUGGGGCAAUCAUCAGGGAAUACAAAAUGUGGCAUCCCAUGCAAAUGUGCGGCUUGAACCUUCAUUGGACCUUCAGCUAUGUCACUAUUUAUAUUUAUACUUAUUUUCCAAUACCCUUAAUAUAUGCUUGAAGGAAUCAAAACUCGUAAAAUAUACAACACUAAGAAAGCAAAAGAAUAUCAAGUCAUAAGACUGGAUGCAGCUCCUCUCAUCCCAACAUUCCAUCGGGGAAGGAAGUCGGGUAUGCAACACCAUGUGAUUGCCAAGCAAACCUCAAUUUGUUGCUCGAUAAUACAAAUCAAACAAUUAAACUCUCCUGCUGUGGGGAUCUUCUUCGAAUUGUAUUGACACAAGGUUAUUCCCCUUUUGCUUCUUUCCCUGUUAUGAAUGGAUAAUGCUAAAAACUGUUGAUGAGAAGCACCAAAAGAAAGCUUUCCACGACUUAAAAUAGGUCUUUGCUUAUCCUCUUUCAACAACAGAUGCACCCCCCAGAAUUUUGAUUCCAUUAGAGCAUGAGGCUCUACUUCCAACUGUGAUGUAACUGUAACAAAACAAAUUAAUGUCAUAUGUGUAGACCAUAAAUAGUGCAAGAGCUAUCAAAUAUGAAGUCCAUUCAACUUGAUAAAGAUGUGUCAGCAAUCACUCAACUCUCAACUUGACAUCAAUUCAGUAACAGAGGACCAUUCAGAAAACCUAAGGCAAGCAAGCCGGCAGGCGAACCUUCAAUGUUGGCCUCAUAGUUUGAUUUUGUACAACCAUGCGGUAAUGAUCCAAGAUCCAACAGGCAAGGCUUCAAAAAAGAAUAGAUAGUAUGAUCAGCACAGAAAAUCUCCACCGGGACACCAUGCAACCAACCAUGCAUCAAAACAACCUAAUUUAUGUGUUAAUUUGAUAAAAAAGGAGGCAUGCACUGUGUCCUAGUGCAUGAGGCUUCUUCCAUUACAAAAUUUGAAGAGGAUCAAGUAAAAAAUUAUUUUCAUAUUUUAAAUCCAUGACAUGCAAGUUAUAAUAGUGUAACCUUAAAGCCUGCUCUCCCAUUACUAAUGCACUAAUUGAACAAUCCUAAAUUUCUAACCAUCAUUCAAAGAUAGUAGUUCUUUAUUCAUGCUGAGUCCUGGAAGGACGUAUGACAGGCCUACCUUCCUGGAAGACAGAGGAUGUACAAUCUUUGUUUUUAGGAUGGGAAGCUAAAAGCUGGUUCAUUGGGUGCUGGAAACUAGCAGGGACCCACCAUAAGCCUAUGAUGGGCCCAACUUUACAUCAGAUGCUGACAACCAGAGUAUUUCUACGGAUCGCCAGCACGUUCAUGACCGUUUCGUCCACAUGACCCUCUCGUCCAUUCAGUAAUCCAUAAAACAAUGCUUCCCCUGCCCAUUCCUUCAAUAACUCCAGGACAAGAUACGGCUGGCUGGCAAUUCUCUACAAAGAAAUAUAGGAAUUAUGAUAAUAGAAAUCAUUGGAUCAAUCUCACGCUUGCGUGCAAGUGGCUUGCCAGGGAAAUCUCUUCAUAUUUUUCUCUCCUUUUCCUGCAGGCCUGCUCCUAAUAAACAAACAAGAGCCCCAGAUCACCCCACUGUGACUGAAAAAAAGAAGGAAAAAAGAGUCAAAUGGAUGGAAGAAAGAAGACCAAUUCGUAAUUAGCAGAGAUUAAAAACAGAUAUAAAUCUCACUCUACAUGAGACAUAUGGGAGCUUGUUUCCUUGUAUCAUAUAGGUUCUGUGCAAAUGGCUCCUAAAACCUUCCUGUAAAAAUGCUUUCGAGGGGCAAUGGG